CCCUAUACAUUACCUGACCACUAUGGACCUGGGCGCCCCGGAUUAGUGUCGCCUUUAGCUUGGUUUAAGGAUUUGGCCAUCAUGCCCUCCGCGUCCCUGUGUGCCCCCCGUCCACAGCUGGACCCCAGAAUGACCUGGCUCUGCCUGUCCUGUAUGCUCUGGCCUGAAGAUCCGGAGGGACAGAACUGUCACACCUUCAAGAUAAAGAACUUUAAGAAGGUGAAGUCUUGCAGUGUCUGUAAACAGGCCAUCACCCGGGAGGGCAGCGCUUGUCGAGAUGUCACUGUUCCUCUGUAUUGAGCUGUGCGCCGUUACCUGGUGAUCUGGUGAUGGCCCUAGAGGCUGAUCAGGGGCCACAGACAAUAAACGCCCUUGUACUGGAAAUCGUGCAUCCGCCUAAGUGAUUGUAACCCGAGAAAAUCAAUUCCGAGCUCUGGAAGUCACAUUGCAGAUUCUUAGAAUUCUUUGCCCAAUGGUCUUGACAUUCCAAUGUUCACAACAAUUUCUGGGAUUCGGCUGUUAGGAUUUGUGCAGAAUAGUGAA
Long non-coding RNA from Hyla sarda, 543 nucleotides. RefSeq lists it as uncharacterized. The transcript has 3 exons. Lineage: Eukaryota; Metazoa; Chordata; Amphibia; Anura; Hylidae. The record is from RefSeq and is a predicted model, not a curated record.